RNAcentral lists this ribosomal RNA (497 nucleotides) under uncultured bacterium. Its description in RNAcentral is "partial 16S ribosomal RNA". It matches the Rfam family "Bacterial small subunit ribosomal RNA", at positions 28 to 507 of the family's 1533-position model. The record is from RNAcentral.
GAUGAACGCUGGCGGCGUGCCUAAUACAUGCAAGUCGAGCGAACAGACGAGGCGAUUGCUCCUCUGUCGUUAGCGGCGGCCGCGUGAGUACCACAUGGCUAACCUACCUAUAAGACUGGGAUAACUUCGACAAACGGGCGCUAAUACCGGAUCAUAUAUUGAACCGCAGGGUUCAAUAGUGAAAGACGCUUUUCCUGUCCCUUAUAGACGGAUCAGCGCCGCAUUGGCUAGUUGGUAAGGUAACGGCUUACCAAGGCAACGAUGCGUAGCCGACGUGAGAGGGUGAUCGGCCACACGGGAAGUGAGACACGCCCCAGACCCCUACGGGAGGGAGCAGUCGGGAACCGUGCGCAAUGGGCGCAAGCCUGACGGAGCAACGCGGAGUGAGGCAUGAAGGUCCUCCGAUCGUAAAACUCUGUUAUUAGGGAAGAACAAAUGUGUAAGUAACUAUGCACGUGUUGACGGUACCCAAUCAGAAAGCCACGGCUAACUACGUG